AGGGAAUCUUCGGCAAUGGGGGCAACCCUGACCGAGCAACGCCGCGUGAGUGAAGAAGGUUUUCGGAUCGUAAAGCUCUGUUGUAAGUCAAGAACGGGUGUGAGAGUGGAAAGUUCACACUGUGACGGUAGCUUACCAGAAAGGGACGGCUAACUACGUGCCAGCAGCCGCGGUAAUACGUAGGUCCCGAGCGUUGUCCGGAUUUAUUGGGCGUAAAGCGAGCGCAGGCGGUUUGAUAAGUCUGAAGUUAAAGGCUGUGGCUCAACCAUAGUUCGCUUUGGAAACUGUCAAACUUGAGUGCAGAAGGGGAGAGUGGAAUUCCAUGUGUAGCGGUGAAAUGCGUAGAUAUAUGGAGGAACACCGGUGGCGAAAGCGGCUCUCUGGUCUGUAACUGACGCUGAGGCUCGAAAGCGUGGGGAGCGAACAGGAUUAGAUACCCUGGUAGUCCACGCCGUAAACGAUGAGUGC
RNAcentral lists this ribosomal RNA (468 nucleotides) under uncultured bacterium. RNAcentral describes it as "partial 16S ribosomal RNA". It matches the Rfam family "Bacterial small subunit ribosomal RNA", at positions 356 to 816 of the family's 1533-position model. The record is from RNAcentral.